Molecule: long non-coding RNA, 370 nt
Filed under: Numida meleagris (helmeted guineafowl)
Lineage: Eukaryota; Metazoa; Chordata; Aves; Galliformes; Numididae
Description: lncRNA (ENSNMEG00000010793.1)
Source: RNAcentral
AAACGCUGGAGGAUGUCACAUUUUUCAAUGUGUUGUGCAUUCUUAUUUUCCACAGUUUAUGGUAUUUUACUCAAAGCUUGAAGGCAUUUCUUCUGAAAGGGAAGUUAGACAUUUGUGUCCUGUAAGCAACUCCAAAAACGUUAUUUUUGUUGUCUUUCAGAUAUGUAUUCGGGAGAAAGCAAGAAAAUUCAACGAGAAGUUCUGGGAGUCAACAGUACUUUUGAAGGGACAGCCAGAGAAGAUGCCUCUCUUUGUCAAGGCCAUGAAGAGACCAGCAGAUUUGUUUCAAGCAUGCAUCUGCCUGGGGAGACAUGUUGCAACUCUGAAAGGUUUGUUUCCUUUGGAGAUUUUGGAGAUUCAAGCUUUGUGA